RNAcentral lists this long non-coding RNA (7041 nucleotides) under Mytilus galloprovincialis (Mediterranean mussel). The record is from RNAcentral. Lineage: Eukaryota; Metazoa; Mollusca; Bivalvia; Mytilida; Mytilidae.
AAACCAGUUCAUACAUUGUAAACAUGGACAAUUCGGCAUGGAUUUAGACACAGAAAGCACGUUUGAGGUAAAAUUGCCUUGAAAUGGGGGUUUACGGGUGUUUUCUAAGUCAAAUGGGUGGACAGACAAAGCUGUAUUUAGUUUACUGUGUUAAAUUUUAAAUUACCCUUACAGUUUUGUUUAUACAACAUGUGAAAUUUUUUAUUUCAGUGUUAACCAUGUUCUGAAGAGCAUUCUGUUGAAAAAUCUUAUAUGUGAAUUGGUCUGCAGAUGACACUUCAGCAUUAAAGUAAUGUAUCAACUAUCAUCAUGUUUUUUUUGUUUUUUGGCCGCAAAAGUUUACAAUUUGCCAUUGUGCCGUCUACAUUUUGCACAGACAAUAAAUCAUCUAAACACUUAUUUGCCCUGGAUUUAUACACAUCAGAAUCCAGUCUCACAUACUUAAACUUUAUAAUUCUUACCAAUUAUUUUUUGUACCAGCAUUCCAAGGGACAUAACCCUUUUUAAAAACAUUUUGAGGUAUUUUUUAUUACUCUUUCUCCCCAUUUUCUAAUGUAAAAUACAAGAAAGUGGACUUUUUGUGUAAAUCUAUUAGAAAUAUACUGUUAUGAGUAAAUAAAAAGACUUUGAUACCAGUAAGCAAUAAAUGAUUGACUGAAAGGGAACCGUUAUUUUUGUCACACUAGGCGAACAGACCAAAAACUUGAGUUACACAUAAGGGCUUAUAGAAACUUCCGUGUAGACUGUUAACAUUUAUAGAGACAGUUCUUUCAGCUAAAACACUUUAAUUAUUGAUUUAACAUUACAUUUAUUUCAUUUUUGUGGGGAAAUAAUCACAUUUGUUUUAUUUUUUAGACAAAAGAUAUCAAGUUUUGAUGAAAAAGGAAGGAAGGAGGAAAAAUGGACCAAAACAGACCAAAACAGACCUUCAAAUGAACUCUAAAAGGUGCAAUAAAAUUGUUUAUCAUCUUAAAGUUGUCUUUUGUAUUCUAUUUAAUUGUUUGAAUGCAUAGAUCAUGAGUUUAUGAUCAGAUAUUAGUCAACACUGCAUUUUAUAAUGAUACACUGAAAUUAGGAUUUUUCGAAGAAAUUAGACUGAAAUUGCCGUAGGAUAUGGCCUUACAUUAUAGUGAUUUUCUCUGAAACUAUAGCUCUGACUGAGACAAAACUUGACAGUUAUGCUUGAAAUAACUUGCAAUUGGAGGGGAAAAAAUUACAUUAAGUUUAUUUGACAUUUAGGUGUUCUUUAGGGAAACUACAUGUGCACUCGUGACCUUAUUGUACUUUCAUUUUUAAAAGUUAUUAAUAAACCAGUUCAUACAUUGUAAACAUGGACUAUUCGGAAUGGAUUUAGACACAGAAAGCACGUUUGAGGUAAAAUUGCCUUGAAAUGGGGGUUUACGGGUGUUUUCUAGUCAAAUGGGUGGACAGACAAAGCUGUAUUUAGUUUACUGUGUUAAAUUUUAAAUAAUACCCUAACAGUUUUGUUUAUACAACAUGUGAAUUUUUUAUUUCAGUGUUCAUGUUCUGAAGAGCAUUCUGUUGAAAAAUCUUAUAUGUGAAUUGGUCUGCAGAUGACACUUCAGCAUUAAAGUAAGUAUCAACUAUCAUCAUGUUUUUUGUGUUUUUUUUGGCCGCAAAAGUUUACAAUUUGCCAUUGUGCCAUCUACAUUUUGCACAGACAAUAAAUCAUCUAAACACUUAUUUGCCCUGGAUUUAUACACAUCAGAAUCCAGUCUCACAUACUUAAACUUUAUAAUUCUUCCCAAUUAUUUUUUGUACCAGCAUUCCAAGGGACAUAACCCUUUUUAAAACAAUUUUUUGAAAUUUUCUUGCGACUCCUUCUUUUAAAAAUAGAAAGUGGACCCUUUUGUGUAAACUAUUAGAAAAACUGUUAUUAGAAUAAAUUAACAUUUGAUAGAACAAGAAAUUUUAAAUGAUUAUUGAUAAGGUAAAUAACCUGUUAUUAACAUAAAGAUUGACUGAAAGGGGAAGGUUGUCUCACACUAGGCGAAACAGACCAAAAACUCGAGUUACACAUAAGGGCUUAUAGAAACUUCCGUGUAGACUGUUAACAUUUAUAGAGACAGUUUCUUUUCAGCUAAACACUUUAAUUAUUGAUUUAACAUUAAGACAUUUAAUUCAUCAUUUUGUGUGGGGAAAUAUAUCACAUUUUUAAUUUUAGACAAAAGAUAUCAAGUUUUGAUGAUCUAUAAAGGGAAGGAAGGAGGGAAAAUGGACCAACAGAGACAAAAACAGACCUUCAAAAUGAACUCUAAAAGGUGCAAUUAAAAUUGUUUCUAUCAUCUUGUCAAGUUGUGUUUGUAUUCUAUUUAAUUGAGGAAUGAAGCAUAGAUAAUAUUUAUGAGACAUUAUGAUAUUAGUCAACACUGCCACUGAUUUUAACGAAAUAAGAACUUGGAUUUGGAUUUCGAAGAAAUGGACCUAAAGUUGCUGGGUAUCUAGAUAUAGUGAUUUUCUCUGACAUUAUAUGAGACUUGCAGCUCCUGCUUAACUAUUGCUGGAGAGUUUAUAUGACUGAUAAAUGACAUCAUGUAAUUGGAAAUUAGGGCGAAAAAAUUGCAAUUGCAAAGUACUUUUGAAAUUUCUGUUUUUAGGUGGAUUAGGGCAUAUAAAUGCUUGCACUCAUAUGUGUACAGUUUGUUACUUUCCAUUCAUUAAAGUUUUAACACCAGUUUAUAUACAUUUGUAAAAGGAAAUUCGGAAUGGAUUUAGACACAGAAAGUACGUUUGAAGUUAAAAUUGCAAAUACUGAAACAUGGGUUUACGGUGUUUUCACAAAGUCAACGUUGUGUGGGUGAGAACUGAAGCUGUGAAUUUAAGAUUAGACAGCUGUAUUUGCGUUUGUGUUAAAUUUUAAAUUACCCUUACAUUUUUGUUUGUUUACAAUGUCAAAUGUUUAUUUUUUAAGUUCUGAUUCAGCAUUACGUUGAACUGCUUAUAUGUUGAGAGAUGAGAUAUCAUUCAGCAUGUGUGAGUAUUUUUAUCAACUUUUCAGUUUUUUUAUGUUUUUGGCCGCAAAGUUUUGCAAUCUUAUCGUGCCAUUGUAUAAUUUGGUCUGCAACUUAUGAAUCCAGCAUUUAUAUGUACAUCAAAUACUCAUCAUAAAUUUUUUAAUUCUUACGCAAUUAGUUUUACAAUUUGCAUUUGCCGUCUAUCAAGGCAGACAAUAACUCCUUUUAAAACUUUACAUUUUGACUGGAUAUUUUUUCAGAAUCAGUCUCCUCCAUUAAAUCGCUAAUAUAAAUUCUUAAAAUUAGGAUUUGUACAGCCCAAGGACAUAAACUAAACAAGAGUUAAUAUAACUUUAAUGUAAUCAAGAUAAAUCUAUUAGAAAUAUAUUUGUUAUGAGUAAAUAAAAAGACUUUGAUACCAGUAACAAUAAAUGAUUGACUGAAAGGGAACCGUUAUUUGUCACACUAGGGAACAGACCAAAAACUCGAGUUACACAUAAGGGCUUAGGCUAGAAACUUCCGUGUAGUGACUGUUAAACAUUUAUAGAGACAGUUCUUUCAGCUAAAGCUAAACACUUUAAUAUUGAUUUAACAUUACAUUUAUAUCAUUUUUGUGGGGAAAUAAUCAUAUUUGUUUUAUUUUUUAGACAAAAGAUAUCAAGUUUUGAUGAAAAAGGAAGGAAGGAGGAAAAAUGGACCAAAACAGACCUUCAAAUGAACUCUAAAAGGUGCAAUAAAAUUGUUUAUCAUCUAAAAGUUGUCUUUUGUAUUCUAUUUAAUUGUUUGAAUGCAUAGAUCAUGAGUUUCUGAUCAGAUAUUAGUCAACACUGCAUUUUAUAAUGAUACACUGAAAUUAGGAUUUGUCGAAGAAAUUAGACUGAGAUUGCCGUAGGAUAUGGCCUUACAUUAUAGUGAUUUUCUCUGAAACUACAGCUCUGACUGAGACAAAACUUGACAGUUAUGCUUGAAAUAACAUGCAAUUGGAGGGGAAAAAAAUACAUUAAGUUUAUUUGACAUUUAGGUGUUAGGUAGUUUAUUUAAGCUGGGACGAUGCACGAAGUGUACAUUUUGGUUUGAUAGAACUUUAUUUUGAAAAGUUUAUAAAUGGUGACCAGUUGUUUUAUUGAUGGUCUUCAUUUGGGAGGUAAGCGGAGCAGUUUGGUUUCGUGCCUACAACGGAGAUGUGGAUUUAGUGAGAAUAGAUCAUGCAAAGUGUAUGAGUUGGUUUUACGUUGUGAUGUCUAUAAGUGUGAUAUGAAGUGUGAGGGAAACAUGUGCCAAAGCGUAUUGUACUUUCACUUGUUUAGAGUCACAUUGUAAACUGGAUUGGAAGGAUUUACACUUCUGAUAUGCAGAUGACGCAGUUAUUAGAUUAUGUGAUUAAUUGUUUAUUUGUUGUUUUGAAGAGGUGCAACCAUGUUCUGAAGCAUUCUGUGUUCAACGUGGUCUGAAGAUAUCUCAUAAAUAUCACUACACUGUUUUUUAUUAAACAGUUUGAAGUAUCAAUACUAAAUAUAAAGACUAUUUGAGGAUUGUACACAGCAGUAAAAGUUGGGGAUACUUCCAUUCAUUUUUUGGUCAGAAUAAUCUCUAUGGACAUAUACUGCCAAAUGGACUACAAAAUAAAUGUAAAAUACUUAAUUUCUUACUGUGGUAAUUUUCAAGACGCGACACGUUUGGCUUUUAAUAAUAGGACUGAAUAGGGUAACAGGUUGUAGAAUAGAAACAGAUCUCUUUAUGUGGAUUAACAACUGGUUUUAGGCUUUAGAUGUAACAAUAGUUAUAGUGAGAAUUUUGAAAGCUCUAAAUACUAUACAUAUUGGGACUUUUAAGUUAGACAAUAGAUCAGUUCAGAAAAUCAUAAAAUUACACAGGAAGGGAACUACUUUUUAGGAAUAAAAAUCAUUGAACAACACUUGAUUAUUGAUGGUUUGUAUAGAAACUUUUAUCUUCUGUGUCAAUCACUGGACUUUUGUAAUACAGAAAUAUAGAAGUUACUAUGAUUGAUAAAAAGAUUUGAUACAGCAAUAAGUUCUGACUUCAUUGUGUCUUUGAACCUAAAAAAUAGUUAGUUUAAAGUGACUGUUAUGAGAGUGAUUUAAAACAUAUAUUGAUUUAACAUUACAUUUAUUUCAUUUUUGUGGGAAAAUAAUCACAUUUUGUUUUAUUUUGGAGCCAACAUAUGAGAUUUUGAUGAUAAAAGGAAGAGGGAGGAAAAAUGGACCAAAACAGACCAAAACAGACUUCAAGUGAACUCUAAAAGGUGCAAUAAAAUUGUUUAUCAUCUUAAAGUUGUCUUUUGUAUUCUAUUUAAUUGUUUGAAUGCAUAUAUCAUGAGUUUAUGAUCAGAUAUUAGUCAACACUGCAUUUUAUAAUGAUACACUGAAAUUAGGAUUUUCGAAGAAAUUGGACUGAAAUUGCCGUAGAAUAUGGCUUACAUUAUAGUGAUUUUCUCUGAAACUAUAGUUCUGACUGAGACAAAACUUGACAGUUAUGCUUGAAAUAACUUGCAAUUGGAGGGAAAAUUGCAUUAAGUUUAUUUGACAUUAGGUGUUCUUUAGGUGUAAUACCACCAAAUCAUGGUACGUCACAUCCGGUUGCAUACGAAAGUAGGCCUAAAAAAAUAUUCCCUUGAAUUUGACAGUUGUAGAAAAUUAACCCUGCAUUUCAAUGCACUUAAAUUUUUUCUGAGUCGUAAAUAUGUAUGUUGGGUGUCUGAAAGCAUCAUUCUUUUUUUAUUUGAUGGUCUUAUAAAAUAUUUUGGAACGUUAAGGUUACAUAGUUACCAAAGCAGGUAACCAGUAAAUAACAGUGUAAAAAUUGGGUUGUCUACCCUCGGCGGUGGUUUACUUUCUUAUAUGCAAUGAAAUGUAGUGUGAAAUUUUCACUGUAUCACUGGAAAGGAUUGAACUUUUACACAUGCAAAGUAUUUCUUUGGUUGAAAUAAAGGUAAAUACUGUACGAUUUUUUUAAAAGUGCCAAUUUAACAAAGACUAAUAGGGAAAAAUCAAUGGUGGUAUUACACCUAUUUAGGGAAACUAAAUGUGCACUCGUGACCCUAUUGUACUUUCAUUUUUAAAAGUUAUUAAUAAACCAGUUCAUACAUUGUAAACAUGGACUAUUCGGAAUGGAUUUAGACACAGAAAGUACGUUUGAGGUAAAAUUGCAUUGAAAUGGGGGUUUACGGGUGUUUUCUUAGUCAAAUGGGUGGACAGACGAAGCUGUAUUUAGAUUACUGUGUUAAAUUUUAAAUUACCCUUACAGUUUUUGUUUUGUUUAUACAACAUGUGAAUUUUUUAUUUCAGUGUUAACCAUGUUCUGAAGAGCAUUCUGUUGAAAAAUCUUAUAUGUGAAUUGGUCUGCAGAUGACACAUCAGCAUUAAAGUAUGUAUCAACUAUCAUCAUGUUUUUUUUUGUUUUGGCCGCAAAAGUUUACAAUUUGCCAUUGUGCCGUCUACAUUUUGCACAGACAAUAACUCAUCUAAACACUUAUUUGUCCUGGAUUUAUACACAUCAGAAUCCAGUCUCACAUACUUAAACUUUAUAAUUCUUACCAAUUAUUUUUUGUACCAGCAUUCCAAGGGACAUAACCCUUUUUAAAAACAUUUUGAGGUAUUUUUUAUUACUCUUUCUCCCCAUUUUCUAAUGUAAAAUACAAGAAAGUGGACUUUUUGUGUAAAUCUAUUAGAAAUAUACUGUUAUGAGUAAAUAAAAAGACUUUGAUACCAGUAGCAAUAAAUGAUUGACUGAUGAAAGGGAACCGUUAUUUCUCACACUAGGGAACAGACCAAAAACUCAAGUUACACAUAAGGGCUUAUAGAAACUUCCGUGUAGACUGUUAACAUUUAUAGAGACAGUUCUUUCAGCUAAAACACUUUAAUUAUUGAUUUAACAUUACAUUUAUUUCAUUUUUGUGGGAAAAUAAUCACAUUUGUUUUAUUUUUUAGACAAAAGAUAUCAAGUUUUGAUGAAAAAGGAAGGAAGGAGGAAAAAUGGACCAAAACAGACCAAAACAGACCUUCAAAUGAACUCUAAAAGGUGCAAUAAAAUUGUUUAUCAUCUUAAA